AUUGAACGCUGGCGGCAUGCUUUACACAUGCAAGUCGAACGGCAGCGCGGGCUUCGGCCUGGCGGCGAGUGGCGAACGGGUGAGUAAUGCAUCGGAACGUGCCCAGUAGUGGGGGAUAGCCCGGCGAAAGCCGGAUUAAUACCGCAUACGACCUGAGGGUGAAAGCGGGGGACCGAAAGGCCUCUCGCUAUUGUAGCGGCCGAUGUCGGAUUAGCUGGUUGGUGGGGUAAAGGCUUACCAAGGCGACGAUCCGUAGCUGGUACGAGAGGACGACCCGACAGACUGGGAGUGAGAAACGGCACAGACUCUUACGGGAGGACGCAGCGGGGAAUUCUGGACGAUGGGGGAAAGGCUGAUACAGGCAUGCCGGGUGCGGGCAGAAGGAGUUAGGCCUGUAGAGUGAUUUUGUUCGGGAAGAAAUCCUCUGGGCUAAUACCCCGGGGGGAUGACGGUACCGGAAGAAUAAGCACCGGCUAACUACGUG
RNAcentral lists this ribosomal RNA (484 nucleotides) under uncultured bacterium. Its description in RNAcentral is "partial 16S ribosomal RNA". It matches the Rfam family "Bacterial small subunit ribosomal RNA", at positions 29 to 507 of the family's 1533-position model. The record is from RNAcentral.